Long non-coding RNA from Cyprinus carpio carpio, 1802 nucleotides. The record is from Ensembl. Lineage: Eukaryota; Metazoa; Chordata; Actinopteri; Cypriniformes; Cyprinidae.
CUGAAAGUUGGGCCCAAAGGAUUAACACAUUACUCAUAAACGGAAUCUGUUCAAAUAAGUAAUGUGUAACCUUGACGCCUCUGAAAAAAUAAAGGUGCAAAUUGCUUCAACAGUGCCACCUAGGGGUGAGGAGUUACACUUCUCUCUUCAAUUGCAUUCUUGACUUUCUAGUUUGUCAGAUGUAGUCUAAAAGAUAGGUUUCUUUAAUAAAUAUCUUCAAUAAAUAAUUAAACUUUUGGCAACAGUAAAUAAUAUUAUUAUUUAUUCAAGCUGGAUUUAAGAAGAAAAAAAAACACUUCAUGGAGAAAAAAAAUCAUCUUAAGUACUCAUGUAUCAUGCCUCAAAAAUCAACUUUAAAUCAAUUAUUUUCAGCCAUGACACACAUAUGCAAAAUCCCACAUUUUAAGUUCAGAAUCAAUGUUCUACCAGAAAGACUCAGGAGGUGAAGAUAAAACGCAAAAGUAUUUAUUUACAAAACCAAUACAAAGAACAGAAUCAUUUUGCCGUAGACCCCAUCUGUAGCUUUAAUCAGACGUUGUAGAUUCCAGUUAUUCCUGCCGAAGACAAAGGCAGGGCGGAGCAUACCCCCGCAUGUACGGGGCCAUCCUGGUGGUUGUGGGGAGGAUGGAGGGAAACAUCUCAGCAGUAUCUGCAAACACAAUGAAGGAGCAGCAGAGCUGGGAAAUAGAGCAGAAGAAUAUAAGAGUGACAUACAAGAAUCUGGAUCAUUCUGCCUCAAGAUGAACGGGGGCCACGAAAUAGCAGACUGAAGGAUCCAGGGGUCGUUCCCAUGACAACCUUUGCCCAGGGAGUCUGCUGACCCCUUCAGCCUGCCAAUACAAGCAGAGUACAGAUUUUAGGUCACAUAUGGCACAGACGAUCCAAUCAGGACUAAUCUGACUUGACUCAGGGUCAUAAAUUAUACUGCAAAGCUGGCUUUUACCAAGACUUGUCUCACUGGACAGGUCAGGGCCACAUUAAUGUGAGUUUAUGAACACAAUACGCACAAGGAAAUCUAGUAUUGGAGUAAACACUUGUUAGAAUUAUUCUUUUUUGUUUGCCUGUCUUUGAAAUUAUUGUCAUUAAAAUCGUUUUUUUUUUUUCUCCCAUGGGAAAAACGACAAAUCAAUGGCAUUAAUUGUUCCACUAACACCAGAUGAACAAAGCUAAAUGACCAAUAACAUGCUGAAUACUAUAUCUGCUUGUUGCUGUGGUGACAUAAAUAUUUAAACAGAAGGCAGAAUCCACUAAUCAAUCAAUCAAUAAAAUUUUGCCUGCAUUCCAACUGUGGAACUACAAAGGGGGCUGUUAAUCUUUCUUUUGUGCAUAUAAAUUUGCGAGCCUAAGGCUCCAUCAUUGACUGGUACUCAAGCAGACAUAUGCAGCCCUAAAGGGAGUCUUUUGGACUCUAAUUUCUCAGUUUGGCCCAUCUGCAGCCCUCUGGUUCUGACAUGCUUGUAGCCAUGUGCAUUAUUUAUAAUAUUCUUGGGAAGUGAAGACAAACUGCUGACCAAGAGGUUCACGUCUAGAGUAAAAUAAGAUGUUCGGUGUGCAACAAACUGGCACAAAGCAAGAUCACACUGAUUGCUGACAGAUGGGCAGCCAUAUUCUGUGCUUCAUAGCAUUUGCCAGGCUCUCAUUUUUAAUGAUAGAGAUGUUCCGUAUGGCAAAAACUUUGUUUGCCUAAAAGCAUGCAUUAAAAUAACAGUAAAGACAUUUAUAAUGCUACCAAAGACUUAUAUUUUGAAGAACUGCUUUUCUUUUGAACUUUCUAUUCAAGGAAUCCUGAGAGAAAAAAAAAA